Tympanuchus pallidicinctus (lesser prairie-chicken) is the source of this 1011-nucleotide long non-coding RNA. RefSeq lists it as uncharacterized. The record is from RefSeq and is a predicted model, not a curated record. The transcript has 8 exons. Lineage: Eukaryota; Metazoa; Chordata; Aves; Galliformes; Phasianidae.
CAGGGAGGUAGAUACCCACAGUACUACAUAGAUAACAGCAGAAGAGAGGACCAAGUUCUCUGCUGAGAAAUAUCACCAAAACUCCUUCAAAUAGGAGGCCUUUGGCAGAUCUCUGGCUGCUGAUUUUACUCUUUUCAACUGAACUAGAAGUGCUGAAGACAUGUACAGCAUAUCCAGACUCCACAAGCUGUCAUAUGUUAUUUUGUGCACGCACCAAAAAUAGUUCCAGGCACUUCCACAAGCAGAUGGAUCUGGUCAAGAGGAAUAUUUUGCCAGAAGCUAAGAAUAAUUUGGUGUAAUUUAUUGUAGAGUAUGACUCUAUGCUAUGACGAAGACUGCAAUUAGUAAUUUUAUAUGCAAGAAGAAACAUCUCAAAAGAACAAUGGGGUAACUUAUUUUCCAUCAUAUUCAAGGGCGUGUAUAUGACAAUGACAUACUUCAAGAUGAACCAGACAUUUCCUGGUAAAAAUGACCGAUUCCACCCUCCUGCAAUUCAGUAUCAUAUUCUGUAGGUGUUCCGAACAGGUUAUGCCAAUGAAACUCUGGAGCAUCAAAUAUAGCACUUCAGGAAAAAAAAAAAAAAAAAACAUUUUCCUUCUGUGAACAAACUUGGACACCUUACAGAGAAGUACUGAAUGUUGAUUCUCUUGAGGCGAUGCUUCAAUUGAAAGAGUGGGCAUGUUCUGAAGAUUUUGUUUUGCCAGUUGUGAGUUACUCAAAGGACAGUUUGAAGGGCAGUAACUGAUAAGCUGAAGAUCCUGCUGCACUUCUUAAGGCAAUCACCUGUGGCAAGAUCUUUCAUCACAGUGCUUUGGCAGAGGCCUCCAACGAAUCCCUCCCAAAAGUGGAUGGGAGUUAAAGCAUUGUGAAGUAGUGAAGAGGCUCUCAGCAGAACUGAAACCAUUUCUAAUGUGGCCAAACUCUUCCUUCUGUCCUGACAAUGGACAAAUAUCAGAACGAAAAAUGCAAGUGAGAUGAUAAAACUGUAGAAGAAUCUAUCAACCUUGGAAA